This 1447-nucleotide long non-coding RNA is filed under the name Physcomitrium patens. RNAcentral's name for it is "long non-coding RNA (PPAT_LNC004720)". The record is from RNAcentral. Lineage: Eukaryota; Viridiplantae; Streptophyta; Bryopsida; Funariales; Funariaceae.
UUACUGCUUUGAAAUAUAAAAAAUUAUGUGGUUUUUGGAUGGUGGCAAUCAAAAUGGAAUGGAAUGGGAGGGAGGAGACCUGUAUCAAGAGACAUGAUAUAUCCUUCAGGACAAAUAUUGUAGGUUGCAUCUAGACUUGAAAAUGCCCAUCUGAUCACAGAUCCUCGGUCCAAAUAAUCUGCUAUCAAAUAUAUAUAUAUAUAUAUAUAUAUCCAAAAUUAAAAUUGAAGUCCAUGAAGAAAAAAGGUGUUUUUAAUUCUUGCACAGUUAUUGAAGAAAUUCAUUGUCUUCAAAUUGCAUCCAAAACAUCAUGUGAUUAAAUUGUAAUGCAUCUGUUCUCUUUUCAACAGAUGAUAGUUGUGGGUGUGUGUGUUUGUGUGCAUAUAUAUAUAUAUAUAUAUAUUGGAAGAUAUCUCUGGGCUCAUUUUUAGGAAAAUUAAGAAAGAUGGAUGUCAAAGACUAAAUUGGAUCCUUGGUUUAAAUUUAUGUCUGGAGUAUGUAUUUCAGGACAAAUAUAGUCAUUAUAUAUUACACUAGUUGGUGUUACCCUUUUUUUUUUUUUUUUUUAAAUAUUAUGAUUAAAGUAAUGUAAGCUAGUUACUCAAGUUGGGUGUGAAGGAAGAAAUGAAAAAAAAAAUACAUAAAUCACUUAGCAAUUCCACCUGAAAUAACUUAUUUUAACAUUGGUAAAGUAAAUGUUGAUGCAAGGCUCUACUAAUAGACCUGUUCUAUUGUUCAGACAGAGCUUGAUGGUUUGUGCCAUUGACCAGCUUGCAUCAUUUGGAAAACACAGACGAGGUGGUUGAAAAUAACCUGUUCACAAAUAAUAACAACAACAACAACAACAACAACAACAACAGCAAAAAAUUCAUGUAAACAUAUUCUAAUUGCCCAUACAAUGCUACCUGUUCAAUAUCAAAUAUGAAAUUGGAGACACAGUCCAUGUUGGUUGCAUUGUUUAACCUAUACAACUCAUUUCAAGGUUGAAACAGUUUUCCAGACUCCAAACCUCACAACCUCUGUGCUGUUGCAAGAGCAUUAAUAACCCAAGUGUGGGUGCCUCUAUUCACAAGAAUUUUUAAAUGUGGCUACUGUCACAAUGAUGCUUCUUCACAUCCCAGCUCACAACAAAUAAAUAAACAUAUGUAUAUAUAUAUAUAUAUAUAUAUAAAUUGAUUGGCAGUAGAAAGAGAGGGUGGUACCAAUGGAGGCAUCAACCAAGGUGGGGGUAAGGAUGACAAUGCUCUUGGGCUUCACCCUCAAACUGACAGUGCUCCCCUGGGUGGAGCCUUCUGUGGCAUUGUAAAAGGCACGGGGGCUGAUAACAAAGCUUGGCUGCAUCAGGUUGACGACAUUAAGAAGCUUUGUGGUGGUCGAGGGUUGCACUCCGCUCACUGCAUUGGGUUCACAUGCAUCCAGCAACGCUUGCCUCACGUCCUUGGACCUC